Molecule: ribosomal RNA, 508 nt
Filed under: uncultured bacterium
Lineage: Bacteria
Description: partial 16S ribosomal RNA
Rfam family: Bacterial small subunit ribosomal RNA
Source: RNAcentral
AGUGAACGCUGGCGGCAGGCCUAACACAUGCAAGUCGAACGGCAGCAUGGAAAGUACUUGUACUUUCUGAUGGCGAGUGGCGGACGGGUGAGGAAUGCAUCGGAAUCUGCCCAUUUGUGGGGGAUAACGUAGGGAAACUUACGCUAAUACCGCAUACGACCUUCGGGUGAAAGCAGGGGAUCUUCGGACCUUGCGCAGAUGGAUGAGCCGAUGCCGGAUUAGCUAGUUGGCGGGGUAAAGGCCCACCAAGGCGACGAUCCGUAGCUGGUCGGAGAGGAUGAUCAGCCACACUGGAACUGAGACACGGUCCAGACCCCUACGGGAGGCAGCAGUGGGGAAUAUUGGACAAUGGGCGCAAGCCUGAUCCAGCCAUGCCGCGUGUGUGAAGAAGGCCUUCGGGUUGUAAAGCACUUUUGUUGGGGAAGAAAAGCAAUUGGUUAAUACCCGGUUGUCAUGACGGUACCCAAAGAAUAAGCACCGGCUAACUUCGUGCCAGCCGCCGCGGUAA